UGCUAAGGGUAGCAUAAUGAUUUGCCCUCUAAUUAGGGGAUAGAAUGAAUGAAUCAACACAAAACAAACUGUCUCUAUUUUAAAUCAAAAACUUUAUCUCCAAGUGAAAAAGCCUGGAUAAAAAGAAAAGACAAGAAGACCCUAAAAGCUUUAUAAUAAUAUAUAUACAUAAAUAUACAAUUCUUUAGUUGGGAGGACACCAAAUAUAAAAAACAUUUGUUAUUUUAAAGAAUUUAUCAAUAAAAUUAACCUAAAAGUGAAUAAAAGUAAGCUACUUUAGGGGUAACAGGCUAAUAUUCUUUAAGAGUACAUAUUGACAAGAAUGUUUGGCACCUCGAUGUUGGCUUAGGAAACCGUCUUUAUGCAAAAGAAAAGAGCGGGGGUUUGUU
RNAcentral lists this ribosomal RNA (389 nucleotides) under Trypanedenta gemmipara. Its description in RNAcentral is "partial 16S large subunit ribosomal RNA". It matches the Rfam family "Archaeal large subunit ribosomal RNA", at positions 2025 to 2650 of the family's 2987-position model. Lineage: Eukaryota; Metazoa; Annelida; Polychaeta; Phyllodocida; Syllidae. The record is from RNAcentral.